AGAACGAACGCUGGCGGCAUGCCUAAUACAUGCAAGUCGAACGAACUCUUCGGAGUUAGUGGCGCACGGGUGCGUAACGCGUGGGAAUCUGCCCCUUGGUUCGGAAUAACAGUUGGAAACGACUGCUAAUACCGGAUGAUGACGAAAGUCCAAAGAUUUAUCGCCAAGGGAUGAGCCCGCGUAGGAUUAGCUAGUUGGUGAGGUAAAGGCUCACCAAGGCAACGAUCCUUAGCUGGUCUGAGGAGAUGAUCAGCCACACGUGGGACU
Molecule: ribosomal RNA, 267 nt
Filed under: uncultured soil bacterium
Lineage: Bacteria
Description: partial 16S ribosomal RNA
Rfam family: Bacterial small subunit ribosomal RNA
Source: RNAcentral